This is a long non-coding RNA of Myxocyprinus asiaticus (Chinese sucker), 2048 nucleotides long. RefSeq lists it as uncharacterized. The record is from RefSeq and is a predicted model, not a curated record. The transcript has 3 exons. NCBI's taxonomy places the organism in Eukaryota, Metazoa, Chordata, Actinopteri, Cypriniformes, Catostomidae.
CAAAAUGAUACGUCAGAAAACAGCAAUCUCAGAGGAUACCUGGAACUAUGCGCAUGUGGUGCCAAAUGACAAGAUGCAAACCACAACAUUCAGGCCAAGUCCACCGAUUCCCACUGUCUAAGGAAGCUGAACAAUUUGGGAAGAUAUGGGGUGGACAUGUUUUCUUUAGUGCUGGCUCAAAUAAGAGCAGGGGAGUCAUUACACUGUGAGCAUGGGGAGAGCGGCAUAUAAGCGGCCAUGCUACCAGCAGAGAGGGAGAGAGAAUCUGGCACAAGAAAGCCCACGGUGCUCGAGAAGCUGUUGUGUUUACCCUAUUGUGUUUGUGAAGCUAAUGUGUUUAAGUGACUACGUGCCUGUGAAGCUGAUGAGUUUGUGAAGUUGUAAAGUAUUGAGGUGGCCGAUUAAAAAAGCCUUACCUGAGCCCAGAACCCAAUUCCCUGUGUCCUCCUUCCCUUCUGCUGUGAAGUUGUGUUACAGAGGUUAACACACUCGGUGAUCUACAUGAUAGUGGAGUGUUGAGAUCCUUUGAAAAUAUGGUUCAACAUUUUAGGAUUCCCAGAUCUCAGUUCUUUAGGUAUUUACAGCUGCGCCACCUGCUCUGUACUAUUUUUGGGAGUAGCAUACACCCGCCUAAAGUGGCAGAUACUCUGGCAGUGGUGAUUACUGCUUUUGGAAAAGGUCAUGAGGCAUCAGUGUAUUACUCCCUGCUAAUUCAGAGUCUGGUGGACGGAGCUUCAACUUCUCUCAAGAGAUUAUGGGAGAAAGAUUUAAACUUGGUAUUGGAGGAGAGAGUGUGAGCUAGGAUUCUAAAAAAUGUCAAGUCUACAUCUAGAGAUGCAAGGAUGCGCCUUAAGCAAUUUAUGAUUUUACAUCGAUUCUGUUGGACCCCCUCUAGAUUGUAUAGGCUUGGUCUUAAAGACACACCCAACUGCUGGCGAUGCCAAUCAGAAGAUGGGGACACAACCCAUGUUUUUUGGUGGUGUGUUAAGAUCCAAUAAUUUUGGUUAAGGGUUCAGAGUUUUAUGUGUGACGUAUUGGAGACUAAAUUUUCAUUUUGCCCCAGACUUUGUAUCAUUAAUAUAGGGGAUAGAUAUAUAAAAAUUGGGUCCUAGCCAGAGUUAUGAUCAGCAGACGGAUCAGUCUUAAGGGAUGGAGGUCGGCUGGAGCACCUUCAUUUCAGGAGUGGUGCACAGAGAUGGGCGGGUGGCGGCAUUCGAGGAGGUGAUAUAUAGGAGGCUGGGAAAAUGGGAUUUGUUUACUAGGAAGUGGGGUUUGGGCCUGGGUAGCUCAGCGAGUAAAGACGCUGACUACCACCCCUGGAGUGGUGAGUUUGAAUCCAGGGCAUUCUGAGUGACUUCAGACAGAUCUCCUAAGCAACCAAAUUGGCCCGGUUUCUAGGUAGGGUAGAGUCACAUGGGGUAACCUCCUCUUGGUCGCUAUAAUGUGGUUCGCUCUCGGUGGGUCACAUGGUGAGUUGUGCGUGGAUGCCGCGGAGAAUAGCGUGUAGCCUCCACACGCACUAUGUUUCCACGGUAAUGUGCUCAACAAGCUACAUGAUAAGAUGUGCGGAUUGACAGUCUCAGACGCGGAGGCAACUGAGAUUCAUUCUCCGCCACCCAGAUUGAGGCAAGUCACUACGCCACCACGAGGAUUUAGAGCACAUUGGGAAUUGGACAUUCCAAAUUGGGAAGAAAAGGGGAGAAAAAAAUAUAUAUAGUGGAUAAAUACAUGAAAAAUUCGGUCCUAGCCUUGUUAUGGCUGGCAGACAAAUCAUUCUUAGGGUAUGGAGGUUAGCUGGAGCUCCCUCGUUUUAAGAGUAGCACACAGAGAUGGGCAGGGUGGCGGCAUUUGAGGGAAUGUCAUAUAGAAGGCAAGGUAGUAUGGAUUUGUUUAAUAAAAAAUGGGGCAACUAUUUGUUCUCUGGGAGGGGCAGUGAAGAGAGAUUUGUAGUUUUAAAUGUAUGAUUUUAUUUUUUAUCUAUUCUUAAGUGUUUUCUCUUGUCUGUUUUGAAUUUUUUUUUUUUUUUUGUAUACUUCCAUUUUGUGUUA